This 497-nucleotide ribosomal RNA is filed under the name uncultured bacterium. Its description in RNAcentral is "partial 16S ribosomal RNA". It matches the Rfam family "Bacterial small subunit ribosomal RNA", at positions 28 to 507 of the family's 1533-position model. The record is from RNAcentral.
GAUGGACGCUGGCGGCGUGCCUAAUACAGGCAAGGCCAGCGAACAGACGAGGAGCUUGCUCCGUCGACGUUAGCGGCGGACGGGUGAGUAACACGUAGGUAACCUACCUAUAAUACUGGAAUAACUUCGGGAAACCGGAGCUAAUACCGGAUAAUAUUUCGAACCGCAUGGUUCGAUAGUGAAAGAUGGCUUUGCUAUCAAUUAUAGAUGGACCUGCGCCGUAUUAGCUAGUUGGUAAGGUAACGGCUUACCAAGGCAACGAUACGUAGCCGACCUGAGAGUGUGAUCGGCCACACUGGAACUGCGACACGGUCCAGACUCCUACGGGCGGCCGCAGUCGGGACUCCUCUGCACUGGGCGAAAGCCUGACCGAGCAACGCCGUGUGCGUACUGAAGGUCUUCGGAUCGUAACCCUCUGUUCUUAGGCACGAACAACCGUGUAAGUAACUGUGCUCGUCUUGACGGUACCUAAUCAGAAGGCCACGGCUAACUACGUG